Molecule: long non-coding RNA, 1386 nt
Organism: Eriocheir sinensis (Chinese mitten crab)
Lineage: Eukaryota; Metazoa; Arthropoda; Malacostraca; Decapoda; Varunidae
Exons: 3
Source: RefSeq, a predicted model, not a curated record
GAGGGGCAAGGUAUUGCACUAGUGCAGAAAAAGAAACAGGCGCCGAAAAAUGAGAAAAAUAAAAUAUAUGAUAUGUAUGGACCUGAAUAGUGAGUGUAUUGGCCACACACUUGACUGGAGUAUUCAGGAGAUUAGUGAGCUGCAUGAUGAGCAGCCAGCAUAUAAGUAUGCUAAAAGAAGGAAGCCCCAUGAAUGAAAAUUGAGCAAAGACUCAGAGAAAAAAGGCAUAAUGUGAGAUGCCGCCCCUGUUAGAGGUACAGGUGGAAAAUGUGUUAUAUUGUGUUGAAGAUGGGCAUAAUGUGAGAUGCCGCCCCUGUUAGAGGUACAGGUGGAAAAUGUGUUAUAUUGUGUUGAAGAUGGGCAUAAUGUGAGAUGCCGCCCCUGUUAGAGGUACAGGUGGAAAAUGUGUUAUAUUGUGUUGAAGAUGGGCAUAAUGUGAGAUGCCGCCCCUGUUAGAGGUACAGGUGGAAAAUGUGUUAUAUUGUGUUGAAGAUGGGCAUAAUGUGAGAUGCCGCCCCUGUCAGAGUUACAGGUGGAAAUAAAUGAUGUGUUUUAGUGAGUCCGUACGGAGAAGCCACUAAGGUGGUGAUUCUACCCCCCAAGUAUUUCCAAGGCGAUAACUCUGGCUCAUUCGUCGCCACUGCAGGGCACGGAGGAACCAAAGUUACGUUAUGUCGGUGUAGAAAGUUCGCUUUCUGGCCUGGAAUGAAACGGGAUGUAGAAAAUUAUGUAAGGAAGUGCGUCAUGGUAGUCGUUUUAAAAGUGAGUUGGGAACUUGCACCCUGCUCCUUGGCGGCAAUAUCCAGACGUCACCGCUCCUUUUGGAAGAAUACACAUGGACCUUGUGGGUCCCAUGGGUGUAUCGGACAAUGGGGUUCGAUACGUAAUGCCCAUGGUUGAUGUUUUUAAAAGGUAUUUGAUUAUAGUACCCUUACGGAGUAAGGAAGCCCGCGAAAUGGCAAGGGCGUUGUACGUGGAUGUUGUUUGUGUACACGGUGUUCCUCAGACAGUUGUUACAGGUCAAGGUUCAGAGUUCGUUAAUUCCGUGAUGCAGGAGAUAAAUUAGAAGCUACCUGUGCGACACGCGAAUAACGGCUUACCGUACAAAUGGGAAUGGAAUAAUAAAGCGCGCAAAUUAUACUGUUGUUAACAUUUUGAGGAGAAUGUUCUAGGAAAUGUGUCCGUUUGGGAUAUAAUGCUACUUAUAGACAUCUUGGCCUAUAAUGCUGCGUAUUAUCGCACCAUAAAGGAGUCCCCAUUUUAUCGAGAGAGACAGAGAGAGAAUUUUUAGAGAUCCUCCUGUACCCUACACUAUGUUAGAAAAAAUUCAGCAGCCCUGGUAGGAUAUUUACUCCUAUAAAGAGGAAAUGACUGCAAUUGCAAGGA